GUUUCCUUAGAAUUGACUGUUGUAAUUCUUUGGGCUGUUCUUUCCGUAUAUAAAAGUGGAAAGCAAGAAACUUCUGGAUGACUUUUACAUGUCUUUCUACUGUAGAUUUAGGCUUUCUUAAGUUCGUGCUGUGGAUAAGUAUUUAGUUUUUAAGCAUUCAAGUGACCACUUAGCAUUAAUGAUGGAGCUUCUUGGAAUGAUGCCGCGCAAGAUUGCUUUAGGUGGCCGCUAUUCCCGGGAUUUCGUCAAUAGAUAUGGCGAUCUAAGGCAUAUUCGUCGGUUGCGUUUUUGGCCGUUGAACAAGGUG
Long non-coding RNA from Quercus lobata, 307 nucleotides. RefSeq lists it as uncharacterized. The record is from RefSeq and is a predicted model, not a curated record. The transcript is spliced from 3 exons. NCBI's taxonomy places the organism in Eukaryota, Viridiplantae, Streptophyta, Magnoliopsida, Fagales, Fagaceae.